This is a long non-coding RNA of Eriocheir sinensis (Chinese mitten crab), 307 nucleotides long. RefSeq lists it as uncharacterized. The transcript is spliced from 2 exons. Lineage: Eukaryota; Metazoa; Arthropoda; Malacostraca; Decapoda; Varunidae. The record is from RefSeq and is a predicted model, not a curated record.
UUUAGUUAUUUAGAAAUAUAAAAAUCCAGUGUGGUGAGUGCGAUAACGUGGCAUCCCUGGUGUGAGGCAAACCCGUCCUCUAAACGGCACUGGCUGGCUGACUCAUGGAUGUCUGGGCGCCCUUUGAAAAUUAAUAUCAAAAUGGCGCGGAUUGCAAGUCAAAACAACAAAACAGGGUGGGUUAUUUUCAAAUGUCGAAUAAUGAACGGUUGUAUAAUGGGGGUUUCCUGUACAAGCAUACCAUACUAACCCUUGAAAAUCUUAAUCUUUACACACGCAAGAUAAUCCCCACUCAUGGCCUGGAAAA